Molecule: non-coding RNA, 202 nt
Organism: Pelobates cultripes (western spadefoot toad)
Lineage: Eukaryota; Metazoa; Chordata; Amphibia; Anura; Pelobatidae
Source: the annotation of a GenBank genome assembly
GUUCUUACCUCUUUCCAUAUCCCUCUAUCUGCUCCAUCCCACCCACCAACACACAGAGGGAUAUACUUAUUUACAGGAAAAUCCUGAUGAUACGCCUCUGGUUAAUCUGUAAAGCAGAAAAGCUCACAGAGCAUAAUACUGUUUUAUCACACAGAAAAUCAUCUCUGUCAUAAAUUUUCUGUGUGAUAAAACAGUAUUAUGC